GCAUUGGUGAUAGCCUAUGGUUAUUCCUCUUUAGAUAUCAGCAACAAGUCUUAAAGUCUUAUAUUUCAAAUUUAGUUUCAGGUUCUGACAUGAGCUGAGGGACCCUAGGCAAAUGACUCAACCUGAGUUUCAGUUUACUAAUCUAUAAAAUGGAGUAAUAAUGUUACAUUUUUCAGUGUUUUUGUGAGGAUAGUAAAAUACCUGAAAUGACUAUCUAAACUAUUAUUUACAAUGUGGUUGAAAGACAUUACAAAGGAAUAAAUGUCCUGGAGAAGAAGAUAAGUAAUGUCAAUGAAAUAAAUGAACCAUUAUGAGCUAUCAGUUAGUCACAGUAUAAAGUGGGGAGAGGAGAGAGAGCUAACUGAUAGACAUCCCAUAUGCUGGUAUCUACACAACAUCAAGAAAUUUAGAAGCAGGUCUCCAGCUUGUUGACUCAACUUUCCUUCUGGGGUAUUAAUGGGUCAAGAUAGUUGUCUUGGGGAUGAAUGACUAGGAAAUUAAACAAGAGGACUUGGGAUCUCUUGAGAUGGUUCUUUGCAAACACCAGGGACCAGGAGCAUCAUGAUCAUUCUACAGCUGGAAAGAUGGUCAGACAUGUCAGCAUGGAUCCCAUCUAUUAUACUUAAUGUUAUUGGAAGAAGAAUGUUAUUAGAAGUAGCAGAAUCUAAUCCCACAUUCUGGAACUUCAAUUACAGAGAUAUAUACCAUGGCAUCUCCUGUCUCCAAACAGAAAUCUCCAUUGAGACUCUUUUCUCAUCCUGGAAGGAGCCAUAUUUCAAGGGUCAAGACACAUCUGCUCUCUUCACAGGUCAAGACACCACUCUCAGGAUAUCAUCAGUCCUUUUCAAGAACAAAGAACAAACAAUAACAAUGACAUUCUUCUAAAGAACCUUGUGGGAGAAGUAGUUCAAACAUCAGCCCCAUUUCAUAGAUCAGGAGUCUUGAGGCUUAUAAGUCAAGUGAAUUGAUUACCUCAAAUAAAACAGCU
Molecule: long non-coding RNA, 988 nt
Organism: Sarcophilus harrisii (Tasmanian devil)
Lineage: Eukaryota; Metazoa; Chordata; Mammalia; Dasyuromorphia; Dasyuridae
Exons: 5
Source: RefSeq, a predicted model, not a curated record